GACGAACGCUGGCGGCGUGCUUAACACAUGCAAGUCGAACGGAAAGGCCCUGCUUUUGUGGGGUGCUCGAGCGGCGAACGGGUGAGUAACACGUGAGUAACCUGCCCUUGACUUUGGGAUAACUUCAGGAAACUGGGGCUAAUACCGGAUAGGAGCUCCUGCUGCAUGGUGGGGGUUGGAAAGUUUCGGCGGUUGGGGAUGGACUCGCGGCUUAUCAGCUUGUUGGUGGGGUAGUGGCUUACCAAGGCUUUGACGGGUAGCCGGCCUGAGAGGGUGACCGGCCACAUUGGGACUGAGAUACGGCCCAGACUCCUACGGGAGGCAGCAGUGGGGAAUAUUGCACAAUGGGCGGAAGCCUGAUGCAGCAACGCCGCGUGCGGGAUGACGGCCUUCGGGUUGUAAACCGCUUUCGCCUGUGACGAAGCGUGAGUGACGGUAAUGGGUAAAGAAGCACCGGCUAACUACGUGCCAGCAGCCGCGGUGAUACGUAGGGUGCGAGCGUUGCCCGGAUUUAUUGGGCGUAAAGGGCUCGUAGGUGGUUGAUCGCGUCGGAAGUGUAAUCUUGGGGCUUAACCCUGAGCGUGCUUUCGAUACGGGUUGACUUGAGGAAGGUAGGGGAGAAUGGAAUUCCUGGUGGAGCGGUGGAAUGCGCAGAUAUCAGGAGGAACACCAGUGGCGAAGGCGGUUCUCUGGGCCUUUCCUGACGCUGAGGAGCGAAAGCGUGGGGAGCGAACAGGCUUAGAUACCCUGGUAGUCCACGCUGUAAACGGUGGGUACUAGGUGUGGGGUCCAUUCCACGGGUUCCGUGCCGUAGCUAACGCUUUAAGUACCCCGCCUGGGGAGUACGGCCGCAAGGCUAAAACUCAAAGGAAUUGACGGGGCCCCGCACAAGCGGCGGAGCAUGCGGAUUAAUUCGAUGCAACGCGUAGAACCUUACCUGGGUUUGACAUGGAUCGGGAGUGCUCAGAGAUGGGUGUGCCUCUUUUGGGGUCGGUUCACAGGUGGUGCAUGGCUGUCGUCAGCUCGUGUCGUGAGAUGUUGGGUUAAGUCCCGCAACGAGCGCAACCCUUGUUCACUGUUGCCAGCACGUUAUGGUGGGGACUCAGUGGAGACCGCCGGGGUCAACUCGGAGGAAGGUGGGGAUGACGUCAAGUCAUCAUGCCCCUUAUGUCCAGGGCUUCACGCAUGCUACAAUGGCUGGUACAGAGAGUGGCGAGCCUGUGAGGGUGAGCGAAUCUCGGAAAGUCGGUCUCAGUUCGGAUUGGGGUCUGCAACUCGACCUCAUGAAGUCGGAGUCGCUAGUAAUCGCAGAUCAGCAACGCUGCGGUGAAUACGUUCCCGGGGCU
This 1346-nucleotide ribosomal RNA is filed under the name uncultured bacterium. Its description in RNAcentral is "partial 16S ribosomal RNA". It matches the Rfam family "Bacterial small subunit ribosomal RNA", at positions 28 to 1381 of the family's 1533-position model. The record is from RNAcentral.